RNAcentral lists this ribosomal RNA (1002 nucleotides) under Dugesia subtentaculata. RNAcentral's name for it is "partial 28S ribosomal RNA". It matches the Rfam family "Eukaryotic large subunit ribosomal RNA", at positions 111 to 941 of the family's 3401-position model. Lineage: Eukaryota; Metazoa; Platyhelminthes; Tricladida; Dugesiidae. The record is from RNAcentral.
AGCACCGAAUCCUGUAUCUUUGAUAUUAGGAAUUGUGGUGUAAAGGUUGUGUUUUUAAUUGACGAUUAUGCUCCAAAUUCACUUGAUUGUGAUGUUGUCCAGAGAGGGUGUUAGGCCCGUUGGAGUGUAUGAAACUUUUAUUGAUGCUUCCUAUGAGUCGGAUUGUUUGAGAAUGCAGUCCAAAUUGGGUGGUAAACUCCAUCUAAGGCUAAAUACUUGUGUGAGUCCGAUAGCAAACAAGUACCGUGAGGGAAAGUUGAAAAGAACUUUGAAGAGAGAGUUAAAUAGUACGUGAAAUCGCUUAGAGGUAAACGAGUGAAGCCGAAGAUGUUUUAUGGAAUUCAGUUAACUGUGUGUCUUCUUGAAUUUGGCGAAAUCCAACUAGGAAUUGCUAUUUUUGAGUUUUAAUAUACAUGCGGUUGAUGCACUUUCUGUAUAACAGUACUGCGACCGAUAGCGUCAUUUUUCUGUCGUAAUUUUGAAGGUGAUCAUUUUCUCGGAAAUGGUUUUAUAGCUGGUUACAUGGUUAAAUGAUUUAUUGGUGAUUGCGAUUAACGGUUAUUGACUGGUUUAAUGUUGAUGGUUCUUUGAUAGACUAAAAAUAGGCUGUUUUUGAACUAUUGAUGUUUUUCAUGGUUGAUUUGUUAAUUUAAAGUCUGCAGUGUAUGUAGGUUACUUACUCGUCCCGUCUUGAAACACGGACCAAGGAGUUUUAUAUGAUCGCGAGUCAAAGGGCAUUACGAAACCCCACGGCGAAAUUAAUGUAAAGGUUUACUUCGGUAAGCUGUGAUGUGACCUCGUGGAAACACAGAGUGCAACAUCGACCCGUCUAAAGAUGUUCGCAUCUGGGCGGAGUUUGAGCGAUCAUGUAGAGACCCGAAAGAUGGUGAACUAUGCUUGUGCAGGUUGAAGCCAGGGGAAACUCUGGUGGAGGACCGCCGCGGUUCUGACGUGCAAAUCGAUCGUCGGACAUGAGUAUAGGGGCGAAAGACUAAUCGAACC